Molecule: small RNA, 28 nt
Filed under: Bombyx mori (domestic silkworm)
Lineage: Eukaryota; Metazoa; Arthropoda; Insecta; Lepidoptera; Bombycidae
Description: ovarian small RNA-15599
Source: RNAcentral
GACUACUGAUAGGACAACAAUGGAAGUC